AUGUUUGGACGUCUGAAGCAGAAAGUUAAGGAAAAGACUGGACGUGCCAAGGCGACAACUCUUCCCGCAGAAGUGGACGAUGCGAUGGGCUACUUCAAAAAUCUGACGCCACGUGUCAAGGACCUUCACAAGAGCAUGACAAACUUGGAAGAUAUUAGCAAGUGGCAGAAGAAAGCCAGUUUCUCUGGCACCCUUGAGAAUUACUCGCGUCUCGGUGACAAGAUCAAUGUGAAACCAUUUAUGGAUGCUGUUGAUGUUAGAAUGGGUGCCGAAGCUGAUGCCGUGAAAGGGGUAUGAAGCUACUGAUGCACGAUGGCUCACAGACUAGUCAUUCCAGGUUCUCGCGAUUUGUGAAAAAUACAAGUCAUUCUACCAAAACGAGGGAAAACUCCACGCGGACAGUAUCGCAAACUUGAAUAGAACUCGGCUCGACAUGGACAGUGCAGCGGAUAAGUAUGCGAACAACGAGAAUGAAGUUAACAAGACUCGUUUGGAUAACAGUACCAAGGAAUUUGAAGUGGCUUGGGAGAGAAUGCGAGAACUGGCGAACGGAAUCAAGACAAUUGAAUCGAACCAUUCUUCCUGGCAAGACAAUCUGAUGAAGGAGAUUAAAGUGGCGUUGCGUAAAUGA
This 631-nucleotide unclassified non-coding RNA is filed under the name Caenorhabditis elegans. RNAcentral's name for it is "Non-coding transcript of protein-coding gene ZC477.7b". Lineage: Eukaryota; Metazoa; Nematoda; Chromadorea; Rhabditida; Rhabditidae. The record is from RNAcentral.